RNAcentral lists this small RNA (127 nucleotides) under Marmota monax (woodchuck). Lineage: Eukaryota; Metazoa; Chordata; Mammalia; Rodentia; Sciuridae. The record is from RNAcentral.
GCCGGGUGUGGUGGCGCAUGCCUGUAAUCCCAGCAAUUUGGGAGGCUGAGGCAGGAGGAUUGCAAGUUCAAGGCCAGCCUCAGGUAUUUAGUGAGGCCCUAAGCAACUUAGUGAGACCCUAUCUCAA